Molecule: long non-coding RNA, 3197 nt
Organism: Cornus florida
Lineage: Eukaryota; Viridiplantae; Streptophyta; Magnoliopsida; Cornales; Cornaceae
Exons: 2
Source: RefSeq, a predicted model, not a curated record
UCAAAAUAUCAAUAAUGGACCCGGUCAUUUUUUUCUUAACGCCUUCAAUCAUAAUUCAAAAAAAUAAUGAGGAGGAGGAAGGUAGUGGCGGGGUCCGCUUAUUGUCUUAAGUAAUUGAAUUGAUAAUUGUUGGUUGAUUUUUGUGGAAUUGCCUAUAUAUUGAGUGCUUUGUAAGUAUGGCAAGAAUACAAAGAAAGAAAGAAAAAUUGAGGAAAGAUACAGAGAGUCUUGAUGCAUAGAGAGAGGAUCGAGACUUGUGGCUUUGAUGAUUAAGCGAGGAUAAUUCUUUUUCAGUUUCAGGUACCCGAGAAUGAAUAUAGAUUGUUAGUUUCGAGCUUAAGUGGAAGAGUUGGUGUUACGAAUUUAUUUUAUUUAUUUAGAGAUUUUGUAUAUAUUUAUUUGAAAAACUCACUGUAUAAAGUUUCCAAGUCUCGGCCUCCUCUGUCCAUCUCGGCUCUAUCUGUGCUCACUCCUCUGUAUCUUUCCUCUAAUUUUCUCUUCUGUAUCCACCAAAGUCACAAAACAGAUGAAUAUAUAAAGGGAAUUCCAUCCACACAAUAUAUCUUAUAGCUCACGCCUCCAUCAAACAAUAUCAUCUCAUUUUGAACCAAAAAAACAAUCAACUGGUUCUGACACCCUUUCUUUACUCUUCAUUAUCUUCCAUAAUCCAUCAUCACCUAACAAAUAAAUCUUUCUCCAUAUAAGCCCAAAUGAAUGUCAAAAAAAAAUUUUGGCCAAAAAUCUUCUAGUGGGUCCCGCCACAAUCAUCACAAUUUAUCAUUAUUUCUACUUUGGACCAGCCCACUCAUUAUUUCUUCUUUUCACCUCUGUCUAUCAUUCCAUUAGCAUUACACACACGAUGAUGGUGGCGGGUCCCACUAGGAGAUUUUUGACCAAAUUUUUUUUGACUAUAUAUAUAUAUAUAUAUAUAUAUAUAUAUAUAUAAAACAAAGCCAAAUUGUAUAUAAACUAUACUCCCACUAACACAUCUAUGUCUCUCACAUAUUUAUGCCUAACACACUUAAGCCCAUUAUUGAAUUUCGCCACCGAAUAGCCCAAUAUUUCCGAUAAUCAAUUUUGACAAUAAAAAAUAGUAAAAAUAAAUAUAAAUUAAAAUUUUAAAAAUUUAAAUUAUAACAUCCUCCAUCACAUUAAAAAAAAUUUGGUCCAUAAAAUUCAGAUCCAAUUUAAUAAUUCUUUAUCAGAUACAAAUAUAUAAAGGCAAUCCCACUGACACAAAAUAUCUACUGAGUCGUGCCACCCUUUCCUUCUUUGGCAUUUGAGAGGUAUUGUAUAUGUGAACCCUUUCCUUCUUUGGCAUUUGAGAGGUAUUGUAUAUGUGAACCCUUUCCUUCUUUGGCAUUUAAAGAGAUAAAUCAGAUGAUUGAAGGCUAGGAUAAGGAAUAGUAAUGUAAAGAAAGAAUGGGUGGUGGGACCAGUUGAUGUUUUGUUCAAAAAGAAGAUAAAGGAUAAGGAAAAGUAUAUGUGAACUCUCGGUCCUGUGUGUCCUCUAUUUAUCUCUUUCUUUGUGCACAAAACACUCAAUAUAUAAAUGCAAAUUAGUAUGAAAUCAGUAGAUUUCAUGAAAAUUAACUUCACAAAAUAUAUAUAUAUAAAUUUUUAUUUUAUUUGGUAAAAUAUAUCUUAGUAAGUCUCGCCAAUCAAUACUUUUUCUCUCCACAUCUUCAACAACUUGCUCUCAUUCUUUCUUAUCUUCAUCAUAAAUUUUUAUUUUAUUUGGUAAAAUAUAUCUUAGUAAGUCUCGCCAAUCAAUACUUUUUCUCUCCACAUCUUCAACAACUUGCUCUCAUUCUUUCUUAUCUUCAUCACACUAUAUAUAUAUAUAUAUAUAUAUAUAUAUAUAAUAUAACAAAAUCAAAUCAAACUCUUUAAAUAUUUCUUAAUAGACCCCACUAAAAUCCUUACCAUUCCUUUUUCUUUUUGCCCUUUUAGCUGGUAGCAAGCAUCACCAUCAACAUGCUAUAUAUAUAUAUAUAUAUAUAUAUAUAUAUAAUAUGAACUAUGCACUUCCACAAAAAUCAAAUCGCCUUCCGUCCAAAUUUUCUUAUGAACUAUACACUUAUACAAAAAUCAAACCAUCUACCGUCCAAAUUUUCAUAAAAAUAAAGAUUUACAAAUCUAACAAAUCUAACAUCACUAAUAAUUAAUCUCGACAAUUAAAAAUAAAUAUAAAUUAAAAUCUUAGCUUAUUUUAAUAAAUACAUAAUUACUAAAAGAUAUUUAAGGAGUUUGAUUUGAUGUUAGUAAUGAUCAUAAAUAUAUAUAUUUCCUGAUAAAGAUAAGAAGGAAUGAGAGCACCUGAAAGUGAAGAGAAAAGGUAUUGAUUAGGCGGGCCGAGAUAUCUUGUCAAAACUCUUUUGACUUUAACUAUUAUGCAUGUGGCGAUAAUAUGUAUUUGAUUUAUUUCAAAUUACAGAAUGUAUUUGAAAUUCCUCAAUUCAAAUACCAUUAUGUAAUUUGGACCAUUUUUAAUUAUAUUUUAAUUUUAUAUUUAUUUUCAUCAUUUUUAAUCGUCAAGAACACCAAACAGAUACCAAUACAUAUAAGGUAAUAUUCACCGACACACUUCACAUGACAGCUCAGCAUAUAAAAUAUUAAAGAUCAAAAUAUUAAUAGUAGACCCCGUCACCUUCUUCUUGGCACCUUCAUCCUUCAGAUUCAAAAAAACAUAAUAAGGAAAAGGGGGUAAUGGUGGAUCCACUAAUGGUUAUUGUCUUGAGUAAUUGAAUUGAUAAUUGUUGGUUGGUAUUUGUUGGGUGUUAGUUGCCUAUAUAUUGAGUGCUUUGUGACUAUGGUUAAGUAUACAAAGAAAGAAAGAAAAAUUUAGGAAAGACUCAGAGCCGAGAUGCAGAGAGAGAGAGAGUGCCGAGAUUUGUGACUUUGAUGAUUCAGUAAGGAUAAUUCUUUUUUAGAGUAAGAUUCUUUAUAAUUUGAAUGAAUUGCGUGAUUUUAUCUCAAAUAUUUUAGGAUUGUUAUUUUGCUCAAAUUGCAUAUGUAUUUUGUUUAAAUACAUAUCUAUAUUUUGUAAACCUGCUUGAAAUUUUUGUUAUGAUUUUUCUUAUUUUUUUUUACAGAGAGUUGUCAUCUCACCACCCUCUAGUUUCAGGUAUUAAGAAUGAACGUGAAUUGUUAGUUUUGAAUUUAAGUGGAAGAGUUGGUGUUACGAAUUUAUUUUA